This 722-nucleotide long non-coding RNA is filed under the name Homo sapiens (human). RNAcentral's name for it is "non-protein coding LINC01304:17". The record is from RNAcentral. Lineage: Eukaryota; Metazoa; Chordata; Mammalia; Primates; Hominidae.
UCCAGCUAUUUGGCCCAACCCAUAUUAGAUUGUGUUAUAAAGACAUGGUAAAUUACAUCACGAAGGGAAGAGCAGAGGAAACAUAAUAUUCCUUCAAGACCCAUCAGCUCAGAUGUUAGCAGAACACCCCUAAGGAGGAAAACAAGAAAUUUUGGGUUUGAACUUGGUACUUCCCAGCAGCCCUGGGAGUGGGGUCAGAAGCCCUGCUGGGGGCCAAAGAACUCUGAGGAUCAAAGAUGUUGAGCAUCACCUUAGAGGCCAAAGAUCAGAACAGUGGAGGUGGCCUUUGAAGCCCAACCUGUCUUUCACCAGAGAGUGAGAACGGCCUCUAUUUCCAGGAAGCUCACUGCAGCAAUAAUCAUGAUGCUCUGAGCCUGACAAGCAAAAGAAAACUUCUUUAGGAGGAUAAAAGGGAGAUGAAGAAACAGAAAACACAUCAGCUCUCCAUCCAGAUUACAGAAAGCAGAAAACAUCCUGAAGUGAAUAACAUAGGAAUCGCUCUUUUUCCCCCCUGAGAUAGCAGGUUACUUAUGAGAAACAAGCUUGAAAUCUCUGCACCUGGACCAGCUUCCAGAGGCUUUUGUCCUGACCAGAUAUUUACUGAAUAACUAGAAGAUGCUAGAUGUUAUUCUAUUCAUUUUAUACCACUCUUCAAAUUACGGAUGUUUCCCCACCGAAACCGACCCUCACAAAAGAAAAACUAUCUGGGGCCUUGGAUCCUC